Molecule: long non-coding RNA, 15664 nt
Filed under: Glycine max (soybean)
Lineage: Eukaryota; Viridiplantae; Streptophyta; Magnoliopsida; Fabales; Fabaceae
Description: long non-coding RNA (GMAX_LNC003781)
Source: RNAcentral
AUAAAUUGCAUAGCCAUCAGAGAUAUACAUGAUGAAGAUGGGGUGGACACUAGUUUGGUUAAUUCGAUAUCCAAACUGAUUAAUGUUAAACGGUUUGGAUUAGUUUGAGUUUUUUAACAUUUUUUACAUCUCUCAAACCAAAAUAAUAAAAUAAAAAACAAGAAAAAAAAAAAACAAAAAAGCUAUGGAAAACUUGCAUGUCCCCAAACCUAUGGUUUGUAGCAAGGAGGGGUUUUCUGAUGCAGAACUGCCGAGAUAAGGAUCAUCAAAUCGAAUAUCUUCCUCCAUACUGCCUUCUUUAAAUAUAUGGAAUCCAGUUACUUUAAUGAGUGAGCCAUCUAAGUCUAACAAACCUCUUUCUCUUUUUCUUUUUUCAUACGCUAACACACCUGGAUAUCUAACCUCCACAUGGUUCCAUUCUUUUUCCCAAGCCAUUUCUUCAAACCGAUUAUCAUUUUUUAUAGCGAACGCAUGGAGAUCAAAGAUAUAUGUAUGAUCGAUAUCCAAUUUCAACAUACUUUGUAUAUCGUCCCAUAAAUAGUAGUGCCAAAAUUCUUGAAAUUUGCUAUUGAUGAACACCUCGAGUUUAAGGAAAGGAUACCCGGCACCCGACACAGGUGCAAUAAGAAGACAAAGAAGUUUGGCAGGGAAUUUAUUACGAAACCAGAAAGAACUUGAAUGUCCACUGCUUUGCUGAUUGAACCACUCUGGUAUUCUUGUUCCUGGAAACAUAAACUUGGUUCCUCCAGCCUCAUACAGUUCCUGUUAGUCAUAAUUCAUAAAGAAUUCAUAAGCUUAACAACAUUAAGUGCACCAUCAUCAAAUCAUAUACAUUAUAAAAAGACAAUACCUGAUUUAGAAGCAUGCUUUUACUCGAGGAAGUCAAGGAUGCACAGUUUAUUGCCCUGAAAUCUUUUAAGUUUGGUGGAAGCCCUCUAAUUUUCUGAAGAUGCUCGCAAUCACUCACAUCAAGAGUUCUUAAAAAUUUCAGUUCUUUGAAGAAUUCGGGAAGGAUUGUGAAAUUAUUCCCCGAUAGAUCUAAAUAUUCUACAUGAGUAAACCUCUUGGAACCUGUUAAAAAAAAAUCAUCACAUAGAUUGCAAUUCAUGGCACGAAACCAACGUGCCUUUGAAGAUAGUAUUGAGCCCACUUUUUCUUCACCUUCUUCCGAUUCUACCCAUUGCCACCUGUUGCAAUAUUCAAUAUGGAGUUGAAACAAUUCGGGCAUCAUCACUAAUCUGCAUGGUAACUCAACAAUUAAACAGCUCCACAGGUAUAACACUUGAAGUCCAAUAAGAUUUUGAAAUGAAAAUGGCAAUUCUUUUAUGGGAAGGUCUCUCAAAACAAGUUGCUUUAUGUUUUCCAUCUCUCCUAAUAUUUCUGGAAAAUACUCAAGACUGGAACACCCAGAAAGUUGAAGUGUUUCAAGAGAGGUCAAGUUGAGAGGAGGAAAACUUGUAAGCUUCCUGCAACCAUAAGCAUUCAAUUUUUUAAGUUUAUUCAGAAAACCAAUUGAGUCAUCAACUGCAACUAAACUCUCACACCCUUUAAAUGAAAGUUCCCUCAAAUUUGGGAGAUCAGAUACAUCAGGUAUCUGUGUUAAAAAUUUGCAGUUGUCAAACUUCAAAACUGUUAGAUGCCCGAACUUCUGCAAAGGAAAAAAAAAGAAGAAAAGAAAUAAGAAGGAAUGAAUAAAUUUAUAGUGAAUUUAUUAAUUCACUGGAUGAGGAAAAUAUACUGUAUAAACUUGCCUUCGAUGAGCCAUGAAACUCAAAUGACGCCAUGGAACUGUCAGGUAACUUGCAUAUAAGAAGGUUGUUCGGAUGAAAGUUAGAUGGUAAACACUUUGAAGGAUAUCUGUGCCAUUCCAGUACUCUCAAACCUUCUGGAAAAUAAUUGGGACCUUUGGAAAAUUUGCCAUUUCUAAUAAUAAGGAUUUUAAGGUUUUCCAUCUUCAUGAAGGCGUUUUGGUUCCAUUCCACUGUCUGUUCUUUGUCAGAUAUGGAGAAAUCCAGACAUAUGAUUUCAAUCUUACUAGUUCCCUGUUAAUUCAAAAUAGCACGAAUCAACCACAAUACAACUUAUGUGAAAUAUCAAUUGACUGAAACGUUUAGAUAAAUUUACAAAUUAUCAAGAAAAAGUUAACUAUGAUGUAAAUAUGAGAUAGACCAAAAAAAAUUCAACUAUUCAUGAGCUCACUCACCGUGUUGUGUUUUAAAACUUGAAUUAUAUCUUUUGGUAACCAUAAUCUCUUGCACUUCCCUGGCUCUUCAGGUGAUAUCUGCCGCUCAAUUUCUCUACCCACAACCUGAAUUAGGUCAUGCAUAUUUACUGUACCAUGCCUAACCUUUAUGAGAGAUUUGUCAACCAACACAUCAAUAUGAUGUUUCAUGCAGUUAUUGUAAAGACCACGUAGCAUAUGUUCAACCUCUGUCAAUUUGCAUCCUUUGAAGCAACAAGCAAUGUCAAGGAAAACAUUCUUUUGUUCUUCCCCCAAAGCAUCAAAGCUUACUUUUAGAAUUUCUAGGAUUUCAUCAUUGGGAAUUCUUUUAUAAUGUUCCACAGCAGAUUUCCAUUCUGCUACCCUUUUUCCAAACAUGUUGGAACCUAUGACUUCCAAAGCCAAUGGAAGGCCAGAAGCAUAAGUUACUACACGAUUCAAAACGUCCUCAUAACUUGGAUCAAUUUUUUCUCUUUUGAAAGCAUUCCAUGUAAGCAAUUGUAGAGCAGCAUUCUGAUUCAAAACCUCCACCUCAUAUCUUUUUUUAACCCCAUGAGGUGCUAGCAGUUGUUUGUCCCGAGUGGUGAUGAUGAUUAUGCUGCCAGGACCAAACCAAUCACGUCGUCCAGCAAUUGUCUGUAAUUGCUGGGGCUUGUCAACAUCGUCCAGAAUCAAGAGAACCUUCUUCCCCUUAAGCAUAGACUGGAUCUUUGAAAUUCCUUGUUGCUUACUUCUUACUUUGAUGUCCUCUCCAAGUAUUUCUGAAAGAAGAAUGCUUUGGAGGUGUUGUAACCCAUGAUUGUUUGAACUUUCUCUCACGUUUUCAAGAAAACACAAACCAUCAAAAUUCUCAGUAAUUAUUAAAUCAUUAUAGACAGCUCGAGCAAGAGUUGAUUUUCCUAUCCCACCCAUUCCGUGGAUCCCUAUCAUGCAGACACCAUCAUGGUUUCCAACAUCCAAAAGCUUCCUUACUUCUUGUACUUUUGACUCUAGUCCAACAGGCAGAUCCGCAACAUGUAAACUAGCAGGGUUAAUCUUCUCAGAGACCGAUGCAACAAUUCUCCCAAUAAACUUGUAUUCAUAUUCAUCUCUAUCUCAAACAAAAAAGUUUCAAUGAAAUUAAACUAAAAGCCUAGUAUCCAUGCCCUGAUAAGUCCAUACGUGUAUCGACAAGGUUAACACAUAUUUCUUUUCUCUUUAAAUUUGAACAUUAAAUUGUCAGACAAGUAAAACUUAAUCCAAUAAAAAAUAAAAAAUAAAAAGAAAGGUAUGGUUGGGUACCUAUCUUUGAAAUGAAGGCCAGACAAGUUGGCUACUUGACGCAGAGCCCUCUCCCAUUUCUGCAACUUGUCUGGAAAUCUUUUCUUAUGCUUAGCCAAUGCUUCUCCAUAAGUACCUUUCUGGUGUCUGACAUCACAAGGAUAGACCUUAUAAAAGACCGGUAUAACCAUCAUCCCAUUAUACUGGGCGCAGAAAAGGAUGGUUGCAAGUUCAUCCAAGCAAAAUGAGGAAGAAGCAAAGUCUUCAGAGAGCACAGUGAUGGCAAUCCUGGAAUCUUGAAUUGCCUUCAAAAGUGCUGGUGUUAUUUCCUCUCCACUGUGAAGCUUGUCUUCGUCAAAGAAGGUAUGAAUUCCCUUGUCACAAAGAGCCUUGUAGAGAUUGCCAGUAAAACCAUAGCGUGUGUCUUCCCCUCUGAAGCUGAGGAAAACAUCGUAGAUUGAUGCACGAGAACGUGUUGCCGCAGCCAUUAUUAGAAGAAAAAAGUUUAGUAUGGUUAUGGUUGAUAUGGUAGGAGGUAGAAUGAAACUUGAACAAAUAUGAAAAUGAUAGUAUACCAAAUGCUGUGUAUUAUAAAGAAGAUAGCCGCCUUUGUGGAAAAUAUCUUGUUUUUUUUCAUUCUCUGUUAUAAAAAGUCAAGCUCUUAUAAAGAAAGAUGCUCUCACUUUUUUCAUUUUAAAAAAUACUUUUUAUAAUCAAAUUCUUACAAAUAAACUAUAAAAAGUAUUUUUAAUAACUGGUAUUUUAUUUAAAAUAAUUAACUGGUGGUACUACUAAUUCUCCCGCCCCUAAAAGAAUUGUUAGAGAAUCAAAGUAUAUAUUAACUAAUAAGUAAUCUGAUAAUUUUUAAUCACAAAGAGCCUCAAAAUUUGUCUUUUAUUAAAACAGAGUAAAAAUAUAAGUGAGAGACGAAAAUAGAGAAGAGAUAGAAUACGAGAAAAAAGUUAUGCAUACUCGAAGCGUAAUUUUUUUUACAUAACUAAGAAUCCAUUCAAAUUCACUGAGUAUCACUGAAACUAACGCUCUAGAAUCCAUUAAAAUUACUAGGUCAUAUUGUCAGAGUAACUGGAAUUCCGUAUCUCACAAAAUCUUAAAACAACCAGCUAUGUUUUCAUCCAAGACAAACCUUAUCAUGAUAAUGAAUAAGAAGUUUAGAUAGAUCAUAUAGUAGUAUGCUAGCUAAGUCCUAAGAAGUACACUUUCAAAAUUUAACUAAUUUAAGUUUUUCUCCUUUCUGAUCAAAUUAUUUAGCAUAACCAGUAGGAACCUGAUCAUCCUAGCAAUUAGAAGGGAGAAAGUAGAACCUGCAAAAAUAAAAAAGUUAAAGAUAUAAAUUUGUAUUGACUUAAAUAUUUAAAAUGAAUAAAUAAUCAAUUUUCUUCCUAAAAGUAUGAGGCAGUAUGCAGUGUCAAUUUAAUCCCUAAAAGUAAUAAAAUAAAGGAGAAAAAAUCUCCAAUGUCCUUACCGUAUCACUUUAGUUCCUAAACUUAACUUAUUGUCAUUUGGUCCUUAAGAUAUGCUAAUUUUUUUUAUUUUAAUAAGUCACACAACAUUUAGAAUUUUGGAUUAAAAUAAGUGACAACUUGCAUUUCCAAAGAACUUUUUUUUUAUCUAACCUAAAAAAAAUACCUUUUUAUCAUUUUAUUACGUUCAGGAGCUCAAGUGGCCACGUCCCGCAAUUUCAGGAAAAAAAAUGACAUUUACUUAUCUAUUUGACAUGUUCUUAUAUCUAACUAAUAUGAUAUUAAUAAUCUUUUGUAAACUUCGAUAUUUUAACGUGAAUGCUAGUUUAGUUGACUUUUUGCUCUUAAAUUUACAAUUUUAGUUAUUUGAUAAAAAAAACAUUAUUCCAUUAUCAUGCCUCAAGUUAAACUAAGUUAGAAAUAUAUUUAAAACACUAUAUAUUACUAAAAGUUUUAUGUUCUGUUUAUAUGACUGAAAUAUAUUGUCAAUAAAAAUACAAACAUAAAUUAAUUAAUUACUAUUCAUAUUUUUUAUCAAAAUUAAAAUUUUCAAAUGUACUUUUAGAUCACAUAUACUAAUAUUAGUAGUAUAAAAAAAAUUGUAAUAUAUUAUUAAAUAAGUAUACAAAAAAAUUACAAAUAUAUUUUUAUAUUGUUUUAUAGUAGAACUUGUAAGGGAAAAUCUAAAACUAAACAAAAAGCAUAUUAAAUAAUUUUUUUACUUUCUUUUAAUUACAGUGUAUAUAUAAGAUAGAUAUAUUUUUUACUUACUAAAACUAAACACAAUUUUGAUAUCUGUUGGUUUAUGUAGUUUUGAAAUCUGACUAUAAAAAUAUAUAGAAAGUUAAACUUGAAAGGUUGCAUAUAGAAAAGGUUAUAUAUAGAAAAUACAUAUAGUCGUGAAAGAUGAAUAUAAAUGAGUCAAAAGUACAUGAUGAAGAUAGGGCGAACAGCAGUUGGGUUAAGUCAAUUUUUGAUAACUGAAACCAAAAUAAUAAAAUAAAAAACAUGAAAAAAACAAGAAAAAAGCUAUGGAAAACUUGCGUGUCCACAGAACUAUGGUUUGUAGGAAGGAGGGGUUUUCUGAUGCAGAACUUCUGAGAUAAGGAUCAUCAAAUCGAAUAUUUUCCUCCAUACUGCUUUCUUCUUUGAAUAUAUGGAUUCCAGUUGUUUUAAUGACUGAGCUCUCUAAGUCUAACACACCUUCUUUUCUUUUUUCUUUUUCAAACGAUAAUACACUUUGAUAUCUAACCUCCACAUGGUUCCAUUCCUUUCCCCAAGCCACUUCUUCAAACAGAUUAUUAUUUUUGAAACGUAAAUCUUGGAGAUCAAAGAUAUAUGUAUGAUCCAAUUUCAACAUACUUCCUAUCUUCUUACUUCCAUAAUAGAGCGGAAAUUUUAGAAUUUUUCCAUUGAUGAACACCUUUGGAUUAAGGACACCAAUCCCAGUAGACACAGGUGCAAUAAGAAGACAAAGAAGUUUGGCAGGGAAUUUAUUACGAAACCAGAAAGAACUUGAAUGUCCACUGCUUUGCUGAUUGAACCACUCUGGUAUUCUUCUUCCUGGAAACAUAAAACAGGUUCCUCCAGCCUCAUGCAGUUUCUGUUAGUCAUAUAAUUCAUACAGAAUUCAUAAGUUUAACAAUAUUAAGUGCACUAUACAUCAUCAAAUCAUAUACAUUAUAAAAAAGACAAUACCUGAUUUAAAAGCAUGUUUUUACUCGAGGAAGUCAAGGAUGCACAGUUACUUGCAUCGAGAUACUUUAAGUUUGGUGGAAGCCCUCUAAUUUCCUGAAGAUGCUCGCAAUGACUCAUGUCAACACUUAUUAAAAACUGCAAUUCUUUGAAGAAUUCAGGAAGGAUUGUGAAAUUAUUCCCGGAUAGAUUUAAAUAUCUUACAUGAGCAAACCUCUUGAAACCUGCUAAAAAAAAAUCAUCACAUAGAUUGCAAUUCAUGGCAGAAAACGAAUGUGCCUUUGAAGACGGUAUUGGGCCCACUUUUUUUUCACCUUCUUCGGAUUCUACCCAUUGCCACCUGUUGCAAUUAUAAAUAUCGAUUCCAGACAGUUCGGGCAUCAUGGCUAAGCUACAUGGUAACUUAACAAUUCCACAGCUCCCCAGGGUUAACCAUGGGAGUCCAAUAAGAUUUUGAAAUGAAAACGGCAAUUCUUUUAUGUGAAGGCCAUACAAAAAAAGAUGCUUUAUAUUUUCCAUCUCUCCUAAUAUUUCUGGAAAAUACUCAAGACUGGAACAGUGAGAAAGUGCAAGUGUUUCAAGAGAGGUCAAGUUGAGAGGCGGAAAACUCGUAAGCUUCCUGCAACCAUAAGCACUCAAUUUUUUAAGUUUAUUCAGAAAACCAAUUGAGUCAUCAACUGCAACUAAACUCUCACACCAAUUAAAUGAAAGUUCCUUCAAAUUUGGGAGAUCAGAUACAUCAGGUAUCUUUGUUAAAAAUUCGCACUGGUCAAAAUUUAAAACUGUUAGAUGCCCGAGCUUCUGCAAAGACAAAAAAAAAAAGAAAGAAAGAAGAACCAUAUGAAUAAAUUUAAAGUGAAUUUAUGAAUUCACGGGAUAAGGAAAAUAUACUCUUUAAACUUGCCUUGGAUGAGCCAUGGAACUCAAAUGACGUAAUGGAGCUGUCAGGUAACUUGCAUAUAACAAGGUUGAUAGGAUCAAAGUUAGAUGGUAAACAAUUUGAAGGAUAUCUGUGCCAUUCCAGUACUCUUAAACCUUCUGGAAAAUAAUUGGGACCUUUGGAAAAUUUGCAAUUUCUAAUAAUAAGUAUUUUAAGGUUUUUCAUCUUCAUGAAGGCGUUUUCAUUCCAUUCCACUGUUUCUUCUUUGUCAGAUAUGGAGAAAUCCAGACAUAUGAUUUCAAUUUUACUAGUCCCCUGUUAAUGCAAAAAGGCACGAAUCAACCACAAUACAACUUGUAUGAAAUAUCAAUUGACUCACUUAGAGAAAUUUACAAAUUAUCAAGAAAAAGUUAACUAUGAUGUAAAUAUGAGAUAGGCAAAAAAAAUUUCAACUAUUCAUGAGCUCACUCACCGUGUUGUCUUUUAAAACUUGAAUGAUAUCUUUUGGUAACAAUAAUCUCUUGCACUUCCCUGGCUCUUCUGGUGAUCCAACUUGUAUGAAAUAUCAAUUGACUCACUUAGAGAAAUUUACAAAUUAUCAAGAAAAAGUUAACUAUGAUGUAAAUAUGAGAUAGGCAAAAAAAAUUUCAACUAUUCAUGAGCUCACUCACCGUGUUGUCUUUUAAAACUUGAAUGAUAUCUUUUGGUAACAAUAAUCUCUUGCACUUCCCUGGCUCUUCUGGUGAUCUCUGCCGCUCAAUUUCUCUACCCAUGUCCUGGAUCAUGUCGUGCAUUUCAACAGUAUCACAGCAGCUAACCUUUACGAGAGAUUUUUCAACCAACACCCCAAUAUGAUGUUUGGUGCAGUUACCAUAAAGGUCACGGAGUAUAUCAUCAACCUCUGUCCAUUUAUACCCUUUGAAUCAACAAGCAAUGCCAAGAAAAACAUUCUUUUGUUCUUCCCCCAAAGCAUCAAAGCUUACUUUUAGAAUCUCUUGGAUUUCAUCACUGGGAAUUCUUUUAUAAUGUUCCAUAGCAGAUUCCCAUUCAGCUACAGUUUUUUCAAACAAGUUGGAACCUAUAACUUCCAAAGCCAAUGGAAGGCCAGAAGCAUAAGUUACUACACGAUUCAAGACAUCCUCAUAACUUGGAUCAAUUUUUUCUCUUUUAAAAGCAUUCCACGUAAGCAAUUGAAGAGCAGCACUCUGAUUUAAAACCUUCACCUCAUAGGUUCUUUCAACCUCAUGAUAUUUUAGCAGAUGUUUGUCCCGAGUGGUAAUGAUGACUCUGCUACAGGGACCAAACCAAUCAGGUCUUCCAACAAUAGCCUUUAAUUGCUCGCGCUUAUCAACAUCAUCUAAAAUCAAGAGAACCUUCUUUCGUUGGAGCCUAUGUUGUAUCAUUGAAGCUCCUUCUUGCCAACUUGUUAAGGUGAUGUCCUUCUCCCCAAGUAAUUUUGAAAGAAGGAUGCUUUGAAGGUGUUUUAACCCAUGUUUAUUUGAUUCUUCUCUCACAUUUUGAAGAAAACAGGAUUCAUCAAAAUGGAGAGCAAUCAAAUUAUAAACUGCCAGAGCAAGUGUUGUUUUUCCUAACCCGCCCAUUCCAUGGAUCCCUAUGAUGUGGACAACAUCAUGGGAUCCAACAUCCAAAAGCUUCCUUACCUCUAUCACUUGUGACCCUAGACCAACUGGAUAAUCCGCAACAUGUAAAGGAGCACGAUUAAUCUCCCUAGAAACCUGCUCAAAAUACUCUGGAUAAACUUGUAUUCAUAUGCAUCUCUGUUUCAAACAAACAAAAUAAGUUCUGAUGAAGUCAGCCUAAAAGCCUUGCAUCCAUGUCUUGAUAGGUACAUUAAUUGUCAAGGUUAACAAGAGCAUUUCUUUUCUAUUUAAAUUUUACUAGUUAAAUCAAUCGACAAGUAAAACCUAAUCCAAUAAAAACCAUAAAGUAAAAUAUAUUACUAUGAUUGUAUACCCAUCUUUGAAAUGAUAGCCACACAAGUCAGCUACUUGUUUCAAAGCGAUCCUCCAUUUCUGCAGCUUCUCCUUCCUAGCUUUGAACCUCUUCUGAUGCUUAGCCAUUUCUUCUUCAUAACUACCUUUCUGGUGUCUGACAUCAGAAGGAUCUACGUUGUAAAAGACCGGUAUAACCAACAGCCCUUUCCUCUUGCAGUGAAGGAUGGUUACAAGUUCAUCUAAACAAAAUGAGGAAGAAGCAUAGUUUUCAGAAAGCACAGUGAUAGCAAUCCUGGACUCUUGAAUUGCCUUCAAAAGUGCAGGUGUUAUUUCCUCUCCGCUGUGAAGCUUCUUUUCGUCAAAGAAGGUAUGAAUUCCCUUGUCACAAAGAGCCCUGUAUAGAUUGCCAGUGAAACCAUGGCGUGUGUCUUCCCCUCUGAAGUUGAGGAACACAUCGUAGAUGGAUGCACGGGAACAUGUUGUUGCAGCCAUUAUUAGAAGAAAAAAGUUUAGUAUGAUUAUGGUUGAUAUGGUGGGAGUGUAGAAUCAAACUUGAACAAAUAUGAAAAUGAAAGUAUACCAAAUGUUAUAAAAGUCAAGGCAAGCUCUUGUAAAGAAAGAUGCUCUCACUUUUUUCAUUUUAAAACCUACUUUUUAUAAUCAAAUUAUUACAAAUAAACAAUAAAAGUAUUUUUAAUAAUGGGUACUGUAUUUCAAAUAAUUAACUGGUGGUACUACUAAUUCUCCCGCCCCAAAAAGAAUUGUUAAUUAGAGAAUCAAAAUAUAUAUUAACUAAUAAGUAAUCUGAUAAUUUUUAAUCACAAGAGCUUUAAAAUUUGUCUUUUAUAUAUAUAAAUUUCUCAUUGAAAGAGUUUUAUAAUUACCUUGAUAAUUUUGCUGAAAACACCCACACAUAAGAUGUUUUACUUUAAGUCAGAUGUAUUUGUUCGAAAAGUAAUAGAAGUUAAUUUUGUAUAAUAAAAAUAAUGUGAGUAAAUUAUUUUACAAGAAAUUUAUAUCCGUAUUUUUUUAUAAAAAUUAUCCAAAAUCAUCAAUCACUCAUCAUUUUCUUCCCUUCCCAAUGUACUGUUGACAUCCUUAAUAUAUUUUCAAGUAUUUUUCAGUAACUACUGAAUUUUUUGUUUCACAUAACAAACCACACUGAAACUCUGGCAUGAUUAUAUGGAAUUAUUUAUCUCUCAUAGUUGAUUCUAUUUACCACAUUUUGUAGAAACUAGAUCAUUUUUCCUCACACAUUUCUUGUGGUCUUUUGCAAGAAUGAAAAGUUAAAAAGUGUGUUUCAUUGCAGUAAAUUUCUGGUGGUUCGUGUUGAGACUCGUUGGCAAGUGUACCAAAUCGUCACAAGUAGUAAAGUACUCGGAAGUCCGAGUGUCGAAUCCACAGGGACUUUGUUUGUACUUAGAUUAAUGCAAAUCCAACUUAAAAGCAAGAGAUAAGAAUUUAAAAAAAAGAUAGAAGAUAAGGUAAAGAAAAGAUAAAAGAUUUAAAGAUAAAAUUAGGAGAUGAAAGAAUUAAAGAUAAAAUUAAAAGAUAAAGAAAAAGAUAAAAGAUAAAAGAUUUAGAUAAAAUAAUAUUAGGAACUGACUUGCCUUGUCUGCCUAGGAUGUAUGAGUUUAUGAUUUUUUCUUUACCAAUUCAGGUGAUUUUAUCCCACCCACAUCUAUUCAUUUACUUGCCCCUGAUGCCUCACAAUGACAAGUCUAUUUUACCUAUCUAUCCCCCAAAUGCCUUUGCAAAGACUCAAUAGAUAAAAUGCAUGAAGUUCUAAUUCUAGAUGUUUGCUUUGACGCAUGGGCAUAAUGCAAUCACUCUAUGCCUAGCAAUGAUUUUAUUAUGAUAUCUUUUCUUCUUGUUCUAUUAGAAGUUAUCCUCUCCCGAGCGUCUAACCCCUAAAACUAAUGCAUGCAUAUCUUCUUUAAAUCUUAUUUAGAAGUUACCCUCUCCCCUGAGCAUCUAACCCCUAACAGAAUAUAAAGAUGAGUAUGCAAGAUAAAAAUAUAAAAGAAAAUAGGAAAGAAAAACCUAGUAUUGCAUUGAUAAAUAGUGAAGAGUACAUCAUACAUCACUUUGGCUUCUAGGCCUGCCAGGCCCUAACUAAGGGUUUAGCCACUCAUGGCCGAGGGCUUUACAAGUAGAAGAGGGGGGAAAGAAAAGGAGUAAAUGAAACCCCUAGGAGAGGGGGUUCUGUCGUGGUGUGUUCUAUCCCUUGGACUGGCUCUCUAUUUAUAGCUGCUGAAGUGGGCUUUGGGCCUUCGUAGGCGCGCUCAGCGCGACACCCCCACGCUCAGCGCGUGUAGAUCGCGCGCUUAGCGCGCAUGUUUCAGGCUUAGCGCACGCUUCUGUUAGAUCGCGGGCUUAGCACGCGUGUUGCAGGCUUAGCGCGCGCUUCUGUUGGAUCAUGGGCUUAGCGCGUAACGCGCGCUCAGCGCACGUAUUGGACUGGGCCUGCUUCAGAUUUUCUUCUUUUCUUCAAUUUUUCUAGCCUUUUUGCUUGUUAUACCUUCAGUUUUUAUAUCUGCAGCCAAAAUUCAACAAAACAUCAAUUCUUUAAUAUUUAAGCGCAAAUAACUGCUAAAUAAUUAUUUUUAAAGACAAUUUUGCCUUAUUUUCUAUCAUCAAAAUACAAUUAUUUAGCAGUUAUCAGUUCGUGCUUAUAUAUCUGUUUUAUUCCCCUGUAAGAGUGCUGAUUUUCUUUUAAUUCUGUUGGCUGAUCAAUGCUCAUGUAUAUGUUUCUAAACUUGAAAGUAACGUGAUAUCCAUUCUUCACCUUAAAUUUGUAAGAGAAUAAUUUUCGUUGAUGUAUAUUUCUUUUGCCAGCUCUCCGUCAUUUUCGUUGAUGUAUAUUUCUUUUGCCAGCUUUUGAUAUAAAUUUUGUCAUAAUUGAACAAGAUUGAAUCAUUUAGAUAGAUAGAUAAUAGCAACAUAUUAUUUAGUAUCGUUCAUUUUCUUAAAAGAAAACUUGUGUAUACUUGUGAAAUGAAACAACGAAAUAAUAGUUGGUUCACUUUGAUUGUUUAAAAAAAAAAAAACUACAUGAAAUGAAUUACAUUAUGAGAAAGAACACAUACCUAAAAAAAGAGUAAAGUGAAAUUAAGUAGCUCAUUCAUGCCAUUAAGUAAAUUAUAAUAAUUUUUCUUAACUUAAGAACAAAUGCUACAAAUAAAUGUUGAGUUUAGAGACGAAACCAAUACCAAGUUGAAUAUGUUGGGGAGGAUUCUGCUGAACUCUCUCUUGACGUGAUUAAUGAAGUUUUUCUCUAUUUAUCAUUAUCCUAAUGUUCUUUGCACCGUCAAAUUUACUUUAACUGUGAUCUCUCACAUAAAAGAGCCUAAUCCUCCUAAUUUCAUUCUUGAUUCCUCAAUGAAUUCCGUCUAAGUGGGCCACAUUACAAAUUAGAUGCAAAUUAUACUAGAUUAGUUCACACUAUUCUUAGAAAUGAAGACUUCUAGAUGUUCUACCAAGUUCUAAGGACUAAAAGAAUUUCCCAACACUUCAAUCCUAACAAAGCAUAUAAAUGGAUAAUCAAGCCACAAAUAUUAAAGACAACCACAGAUAGAAGUAGAUAACACUAGCAAAUAAUAUUAAAUAGAUAGUUAGAGUUUUUGCAUCAAGAGUGUUGAGUGAAAAACUCUCCAACAAUGAAGUGUUUAGCCCUUCAUUAGCAUGGAGAGCUCAGUACAAGGCUAAAAAUAAGGUAGAAAUGGAAUGGUGAAGUAAAGAUAUGGAGAAAGCCGCUUGCUUUUCUUCCUUCAGCCUUGGUGCUCUGUUUUCGUCUCACCCACGCUGCAUGUGUUGUUUGGCUUCCCCCUCUCUUCCAGCUUUAAAGGCUUUUGGGCUUCUCAAAUUAUGAAUGUGCGUUUAGCGAGCAUGUCUCGCUGAGUGAGAGUUCGUGACUGGGUGCUUAGCGGAUGUGGAUGCGCUAAGCACGAGAAACGACAAAGGCAGUUACUGGGCAAGCUGGCUGCAGCUAAGCACAAUGCUCUUUGAAUUUACAUUCUCUAAGAGUUUUCUCUCACUGGGUGAGUUGGCUUCCUCGCUAAACAGAUUAGGCUCGCUUAGCUAAUCGCUAAACAAGCUCUUCAGCAUGCACUUCCAAAUCUUGCUUCCUUAAACCUGAAAAUCCAAAUGAUAAUAAUAUCAAUCAUCAAAAUGAAGCCUCCACCGUAUAAAACUCACACAAAAUCAAUUAUAUACAAAUCUCACGCAAGAAACCAUAAUACUAAUUAGAGUUACAUUGCCACUUUUCAUCUACUUUUCAAUACAUUUGGUACUCUUGAAUAACAAUUAUCAAUUUAUUUCUUUGGCUACUUCCUAUCCUUAUUUAUGCCACGUUUUUAAUUUCCAUUCAUAAAUUUAAAAACAACAAGCUAUCAGCCAUCCUAAGACAAUCCUUAUGCAGAAAAUGAAGAAGACAUUAUCUAGCUUAAAGAUAUUUGAUCCAAUAAAUUACACUAGUUAUUCUUGAGAUUUUGUGAAAUUUCACAAACUUUUCAUACUUUUUUUACCCCUACACUAACCCCUUAAUUAUUUCGAAAACAUUAUUCCGAUACCUUUUAUACAUUAUACUAAUCCACCUUAAUUGUUUGAAGAACAUUACACUGUGUUCGCUUAUAAAGAAAGUAGUUGUAAAUGUUAAAAAAACAAGAAAGACUUGUGCAAUUUCACGAAAUCUCAAAAAAUAUAUAUUGGUGUAAUUUAUUAUAUAUACUUGAUUUAAUUAAUUUAGAGAGGCAUAUAGAAGUAGAAGUAAACAGAAAUCUAUUUAUAUGCCCAACUCAAACUCAAUAAGAAUCCUAGGUAGGCAUUCUGCUUACAAGUAUGCAAAAUUUAACUUUCUCAACUGCUAUGAACAGUUGAUAUAGAUCAUAUAGGAGUAUGCCAGCUAAAUCCUAAGAAGUACACUUUCAAAAUUUAACUAAUUGAAGUUUUUCUGGUUCCUGAUCAAAUUAUUUAGCAUAACCAGCAGGAACCUGAUCAUCAUAGCAAUUAGAAGGGUAAAAGUUGAACCUGCAAAAGCAAAAAAGUGAAAGAUCUAAAUUUGUAUUGACUGAAAUAUUUAAAAUGGGUAAAUAACCAAUUUCCUAUAUGAAAGUGUAAAACAAUGUUAAUUUAAUUCCUAAAAGUAAUAAAAUGAAGGAAAGAAGAAAUCUCCUUACCGUAUCACUUUAGUUCCUAAACUUAAUACUUAUUGUCAUUUAAUCCAUGAAGCUAUGCUUAUAUUUUUAAGUCACACAACAUUUAGAAUUUUUGGACUAAAAUUGAAAUAUAUUAUUAAAUAAAUAUACAAAUAUAUUAUUAUAUUGUUUUAUAGUAGAACUUGUAAGGGAAAAUCUAAAACUAAACAAAAAGUAUAUUAAACAAUUUUUUUUUACUUUCUUUUAAUUACAAUGUAUAUAUAAGAUAUCUGUUGGUUUAUGUAAUUUUGAAAUCUAACUAUAAAAAUAUACAGCAAGAUAAAACUUGAAAGGUUAUAUAUAGAAAAUGCAUAAAGUCGUGAAAGAUGAAUAUAAAUGAGUCAAAAGUACAUGACGAAGAUAGGGUAAACACCGGUCAGUUGGGUUAAGUGAAUUUUUGACAACUGAAACCAAAAUAAUAAAAUAAAAAACAUGAAAAAAAUAAGAAAAAAGCUAUGGAAUUGCGUUUCCCAAAGGCUAUGGUUUGUAGCAACGAUGGGCUUUCUGAUGCAGAACUGCUGAGAUAAGGAUCAUCAAAUCGAAUAUCUUCCUCCAUACUGCUUUCUUUGAAUAUAUGGAUUCCACUUGCCUUAAUGAUUGAGCUCUCUAAGUCUAAGACACCUUCUUCUCUCUUUUCUUUUUCAUAGGCUAACACACUUUGAUAUCUAACCUCCACAUGGUUCCAUUCCUUUUCCCUAGCCAUUUCUUCAAACCGAUUAUUAUUUAUGAAAGCAGACGCUUGGAGAUCAAAGAUAUAUGUAUGAUCCAAGUUCAACCUACUUUUUAUCUCGUGUCUUCCAAAAUAGGGCCGAAUUUCUUGAAAUUUGCCAUUGAUGAACACCUUUGGAUUAAGGACAACAAUCCCAGUAGACACAGGUGCAAUAAGAAGACAAAGAAGUUUGGCAGGGAAUUUAUUACGAAACCAGAAAGAACUUGAAGGUCCACUGCUUUGCUGAUCGAACCACUCUGGUAUACUU